RNAcentral lists this ribosomal RNA (431 nucleotides) under uncultured bacterium. RNAcentral's name for it is "bacterial SSU rRNA". It matches the Rfam family "Bacterial small subunit ribosomal RNA", at positions 29 to 507 of the family's 1533-position model. The record is from RNAcentral.
AACGAACGCUGGCGGCAGGCCUAACACAUGCAAGUCGAGCGCCCCGCAAGGGGAGCGGCGGACGGGUGAGUAACGCGUGGGAACGUGCCUCUUGCUACGGAAUAGCCUCGGGAAACUGGGAGUAAUACCGUAUGUGCCCUACGGGGGAAAGAUUUAUCGGCAAGAGAUCGGCCCGCGUUGGAUUAGGUAGUUGGUGGGGUAAUGGCCUACCAAGCCGACGAUCCAUAGCUGGUUUGAGAGGAUGAUCAGCCACACUGGGACUGAGACACGGCCCAGACUCCUACGGGAGGCAGCAGUGGGGAAUCUUAGACAAUGGGCGCAAGCCUGAUCUAGCCAUGCCGCGUGAGCGAUGAGGGCCUUAGGGUUGUAAAGCUCUUUCAGUGGGGAAGAUAAUGACUGUACCCACAGAAGAAGCCCCGGCUAACUCCGUG